CGGGGUGUAGUACAACGGUAGUAUGCAGGCAUGGGGGGUCUGUGACCCGGGUUCAAUUCCCGGCACCCCGACCA
RNAcentral lists this transfer RNA (74 nucleotides) under Parcubacteria group bacterium CG_4_9_14_0_2_um_filter_35_11. Its description in RNAcentral is "tRNA-Pro". It matches the Rfam family "tRNA". From Rfam's summary of the family: Transfer RNA (tRNA) molecules are approximately 80 nucleotides in length. Their secondary structure includes four short double-helical elements and three loops (D, anti-codon, and T loops). Further hydrogen bonds mediate the characteristic L-shaped molecular structure. tRNAs have two regions of fundamental functional importance: the anti-codon, which is responsible for specific mRNA codon recognition, and the 3' end, to which the tRNAs corresponding amino acid is attached (by aminoacyl-tRNA synthetases). tRNAs cope with the degeneracy of the genetic code in two manners: having more than one tRNA (with a specific anti-codon) for a particular amino acid; and 'wobble' base-pairing, i.e. permitting non-standard base-pairing at the 3rd anti-codon position. The record is from RNAcentral.